RNAcentral lists this ribosomal RNA (297 nucleotides) under uncultured bacterium. Its description in RNAcentral is "partial 16S ribosomal RNA". It matches the Rfam family "Bacterial small subunit ribosomal RNA", at positions 334 to 642 of the family's 1533-position model. The record is from RNAcentral.
UUUCCCUACGGGACGCAGCAGUCGAGAAUCAUUCACAGUGGGGGAAACCCUGAUGGUGCGACGCCGCGUGGGGGAAUGAAGGUCUUCGGAUUGUAAACCCCUGUCAUGUGGGAGCAAAUUAAAAAGAUAGUACCACAAGAGGAAGAGACGGCUAACUCUGUGCCAGCAGCCGCGGUAAUACAGAGGUCUCAAGCGUUGUUCGGAAUCACUGGGCGUACAGCGUGCGUAGGCUGUUUCGUAAGUCGUGUGUGAAAGGCGCGGGCUCAACCCGCGGACGGCACAUGAGACUGCGAGACU